UUCAUCGAACUAUUGGAGCAAAAGCUUUCCGCUUUGUUUGCUUUGAGCAGCAUCGAAAAGCGAAAGAAGGAGACUGUCGAAAUGUCAGCGAAUAACCAGAACCCAGCCGAACCCAUGGACGUCGAUGAUCAGGAUGACACGGCUCCAUCACGAGCUGAACCUGACGUUAAGCUCAGGCUCUCACUGAAGUGGUCAGAGUCUGAUGAGC
Molecule: long non-coding RNA, 208 nt
Organism: Nematolebias whitei (Rio pearlfish)
Lineage: Eukaryota; Metazoa; Chordata; Actinopteri; Cyprinodontiformes; Rivulidae
Exons: 3
Source: RefSeq, a predicted model, not a curated record